UAUUGGGCAAUGGGCGCAAGCCUGACCCAGCAACGCCGCGUGAAGGAAGAAGGCUUUCGGGUUGUAAGCUUCUUUGACAGGGGAAGAGACGAAGACGGUACCCUGAAAACAAGCCACGGCUAACUACGUGCCAGCAGCCGCGGUAAUACGUAGGUGGCGAGCGUUGUCCGGAUUUACUGGGUGUAAAGGGCGUGCAGCCGGGAAUACAAGUCAGAUGUGAAAUCCCGCGGCUCAACCGCGGAACUGCAUUUGAAACUGUAUUUCUUGAGUACUGGAGAGGCAGACGGAAUUCCUAGUGUAGCGGUGAAAUGCGUAGAUAUUAGGAGGAACACCAGUGGCGAAGGCGGUCUGCUGGACAGCAACUGACGGUGAGGCGCGAAAGCGUGGGGAGCAAACAGGA
RNAcentral lists this ribosomal RNA (400 nucleotides) under uncultured bacterium. RNAcentral describes it as "bacterial SSU rRNA". It matches the Rfam family "Bacterial small subunit ribosomal RNA", at positions 362 to 777 of the family's 1533-position model. The record is from RNAcentral.